UGGCGACCGGCGCACGGGUGCGUAACGCGUAUGCAACCUACCUGUAACAGGGGGAUAACACUGAGAAAUCGGUACUAAUACCGCAUAACACUAUGAGAGGCAUCUCUUGUGGUUGAAAGUUUCGGCGGUUACAGAUGGGCAUGCGUUGUAUUAGCUGGUUGGUAAGGUAACGGCUUACCAAGGCGACGAUACAUAGGGGGACGUGAGAGGUUAACCCCCCACCAUUGGUACUGAGACACGGACCAAACUCCUACGGGAGGCAGCAG
Molecule: ribosomal RNA, 266 nt
Filed under: uncultured bacterium
Lineage: Bacteria
Description: partial 16S ribosomal RNA
Rfam family: Bacterial small subunit ribosomal RNA
Source: RNAcentral